RNAcentral lists this ribosomal RNA (1241 nucleotides) under metagenome. RNAcentral's name for it is "bacterial LSU rRNA". It matches the Rfam family "Bacterial large subunit ribosomal RNA", at positions 1564 to 2815 of the family's 2925-position model. The record is from RNAcentral.
UGAAUACGAGACGCUAAGGCGUUGAAGUAGUGUAUGUCAUACUUCCAAGAAAAGCUUGCACUGUCAUAGAUAAAAAACGCCUGUACCAUAACCGACACAGGUGGGUAGGUAGAGUAUACUAAGGGGCGCGAGAUAACUCUCUCUAAGGAACUCGGCAAAAUAACUCCGUAACUUCGGGAGAAGGAGUGCCUUAUUUAUAAGGCUGCAAUAACAAGAUCCAAGCAACUGUUUAUCAAAAACACAGGUCUCCGCUAAGUCGUAAGACGAUGUAUGGGGGCUGACGCCUGCCCAGUGCCAGAAGGUUAAAGAAGUUGGUUAGCAAUAGCGAAGCUGAUAACUGAAGCCCUGGUGAACGGCGGCCGUAACUAUAACGGUCCUAAGGUAGCGAAAUUCCUUGUCGGGUAAGUUCCGACCCGCACGAAAGGCGUAAUGAUUUGGAUACUGUCUCGGAGAGGGGCUCGGUGAAAUAGACUUGUCUGUGAAGAUGCGGACUACCUGCACCAGGACAGAAAGACCCUAUGAAGCUUUACUGUAACUUGAAAUUGAAAUUGGACUUUAUUCGCGCAGUAUAGGUGGGAGGCGUUGAUUGUAAUCUUGCGGGAUUAUUGGAGCCAUCAGUGAGAUACCACCCUUGUAAUGUUAGAUUUCUAACUUUGAAUCAUUAUCUGGUCAAAGAACAGUUUCAGGCGGGCAGUUUGACUGGGGCGGUCGCCUCCUAAACGGUAACGGAGGCGUACAAAGGUUUCCUCUGAACGGUUAGAAAUCGUAUCUAGAGUGUAAAGGCAUAAGGAAGCUUGACUGUGAGACCUACAAGUCGAGCAGGGACGAAAGUCGGUCUUAGUGAUCUGACGGUACUGAGUGGAAAGGCCGUCACUCAACGGAUAAAAGUUACUCUAGGAUAACAGGCUGAUCUCCCCCAAGAGUUCACAUCGACGGGGAGGUUUGGCACCUCGAUGUCGGCUCAUCGCAUCCUGGGGCGGUAGUACGUCCCAAGGGUUGGGCUGUUCGCCCAUGAAAGCGGUACGCGAGCUGGGUUCAGAACGUCGUGAGACAGUUCGGUCCAUAUCCGGUGUAGGCGUUAGAAUAUUGAGAGGAGCCUUCUUUAGUACGAGAGGACCGAGAAGGACAUACCUCUGGUGUACCAGUUAUCGUGCCAACGGUAAACGCUGGGUAGCUAUGUAUGGAGUGGAUAACCGCUGAAAGCAUCUAAGUGGGAAGCCCACCUCAAGAUAAGUAUUCUC